RNAcentral lists this ribosomal RNA (233 nucleotides) under uncultured bacterium. Its description in RNAcentral is "partial 16S ribosomal RNA". It matches the Rfam family "Bacterial small subunit ribosomal RNA", at positions 103 to 334 of the family's 1533-position model. The record is from RNAcentral.
CGGGUGAGUAACGCGUGAGGAACCUGCCUCAAAGAGGGGGACAACAGUUGGAAACGACUGCUAAUACCGCAUAAGCCCACGGCUCGGCAUCGAGCAGAGGGAAAAGGAGCAAUCCGCUUUGAGAUGGCCUCGCGUCCGAUUAGCUAGUUGGUGAGGUAACGGCCCACCAAGGCGACGAUCGGUAGCCGGACUGAGAGGUUGAACGGCCACAUUGGGACUGAGAUACGGCUCAG